Molecule: ribosomal RNA, 466 nt
Filed under: uncultured bacterium
Lineage: Bacteria
Description: partial 16S ribosomal RNA
Rfam family: Bacterial small subunit ribosomal RNA
Source: RNAcentral
GACGAACGCUGGCGGCGUGCUUAACACAUGCAAGUCGAACGGUAAGGCUCCAGCUUGCUGGGGUACACGAGUGGCGAACGGGUGAGUAACACGUGGGUGACCUGCCCUGCACUUCGGGAUAAGCCUGGGAAACUGGGUCUAAUACCGGAUAGGACCAUGGUGUGGAUACUGUGGUGGAAAGUUUUUUCGGUGUGGGAUGGGCCCGCGGCCUAUCAGCUUGUUGGUGGGGUAAUGGCCUACCAAGGCGGCGACGGGUAGCCGGCCUGAGAGGGUGGACGGCCACAUUGGGACUGAGACACGGCCCAGACUCCUACGGGAGGCAGCAGUGGGGAAUAUUGCACAAUGGGCGGAAGCCUGAUGCGGCGACGCCGCGUGGGGGAUGACGGCCUUCGGGUUGUAAACUCCUUUCACCAUCGACGAAGGGUUUCUGACGGUAGAUGGAGAAGAAGCACCGGCUAACUACGUG